Molecule: ribosomal RNA, 292 nt
Filed under: uncultured bacterium
Lineage: Bacteria
Description: partial 16S ribosomal RNA
Rfam family: Bacterial small subunit ribosomal RNA
Source: RNAcentral
GUGUCAGCCGCCGCGGUAAUACGUAGGGUGCAAGCGUUAAUCGGAAUUACUGGGCGUAAAGCGUACGCAGGCGGCUGGGUAAGACGGAUGUGAAAUCCCCGGGCCUAACCUGGGAACUGCAUUCGUGACUGCUCAGCUAGAGUCUGUCAGAGGGGGGUGGAAUUCCACGUGUAGCAGUGAAAUGCGUAGAGAUGUGGAGGAACACCGAUGGCGAAGGCAGCCCCCUGGGAUAAGACUGACGCUCAUGUACGAAAGCGUGGGGAGCAAACAGGAUUAGAUACCCUCGUAGUCC